Molecule: ribosomal RNA, 300 nt
Filed under: uncultured bacterium
Lineage: Bacteria
Description: bacterial SSU rRNA
Rfam family: Bacterial small subunit ribosomal RNA
Source: RNAcentral
UAUAUCGGAACGUACCCUGGAGUGGGGAGGUAACGUAAGCGAAAGUUAACGUCUAAUAACCGCCAUACGAUCUUAAGGAAGUGAAAGUAGGGGGAGGUCGCAAGAACCUCAUGCUCCUGGAGCGGCCGAUAUCUGAUUAGCUAGUUGGUAGGGUAAAAGACCUACCAAGGCAUCGAUCAGUAGCUGGUCUGAGAGGACGACCAGCCACACUGGAACUGAGACACGGUCCAGACUCCUACGGGAGGCAGCAGUGGGGAAGUAUUGCACAAUGGGGGAAACCCGUGAUGCAGCCAUGCCGCG